UAGAGAGAUACAGUAUUACCUUUACUUCGAGUCAACAUGAUCACACAACUAGGAAAGAAAGUAACACAUAAUAAAACUACUUCCAAGAGAUUUAAGUAGCAUCAGAGGCAAUGCAACAGCGGAAUAAAAACACGACUAGCCUUAUGGAACAAGACAAGGGAGAAAUAAACUCCCAUAGUAGAUGCUAAGAAGUAGGAGAAAUAAACUCCUAAUAGUUUAACGCGCAUCCAUUCAUCAAGAGAUCAACAGGGAAAAAUAAAUUCCCAUAAACAUCUGAGAAAAAUAAAUUCUCAGUCAUAGUGGAUAGUGGACUCAUUAGUCAGGUGCCAUAACACUUGGCACAACAUUUGUCAUCAAAUAGAUUCAGGCGAUCAAGAGAUAAUAUCACUCACACUCCCCCUGAAUUCAUGCAUACAAACAUCAUAUAGAGAAAGAAUAUUUACUACUUCCCCUCAACACN
Molecule: long non-coding RNA, 460 nt
Filed under: Trifolium pratense (red clover)
Lineage: Eukaryota; Viridiplantae; Streptophyta; Magnoliopsida; Fabales; Fabaceae
Description: long non-coding RNA (TPRA_LNC008191)
Source: RNAcentral